AGCAGCCGCGGUAAUUCCAGCUCCAAUAGCGUAUAUUAAAGUUGUUGCAGUUAAAAAGCUCGUAGUUGAAUUUCGGGGUUCUACCGUUGGUCGGGCAAUAGUCUGUACUGGCGUGUAGAAUUUCUACCUUCUGGGGAACCAUCAUGUUAUUAAUUUAACGUGGUGGGAAACCAGGACCUUUACCUUGAAAAAAUUAGAGUGUUCAAAGCAGGCUUAUGUCUGAAUACAUUAGCAUGGAAUAAUAAAAUAGGACGGUGGUCCUGUUUUGUUGGUUUCUGAAUCACCGUAAUGAUUAAUAGGGAUAGUUGGGGGCAUUAGUAUUCAAUUGUCAGAGGUGAAAUUCUUGGAUUUAU
RNAcentral lists this ribosomal RNA (353 nucleotides) under uncultured Racocetra. RNAcentral's name for it is "SSU rRNA". It matches the Rfam family "Eukaryotic small subunit ribosomal RNA", at positions 569 to 929 of the family's 1831-position model. Lineage: Eukaryota; Fungi; Glomeromycota; Glomeromycetes; Diversisporales; Gigasporaceae. The record is from RNAcentral.